Molecule: ribosomal RNA, 253 nt
Filed under: uncultured bacterium
Lineage: Bacteria
Description: partial 16S ribosomal RNA
Rfam family: Bacterial small subunit ribosomal RNA
Source: RNAcentral
UACGGAGGGUGCAAGCGUUAUCCGGAUUCACUGGGUUUAAAGGGUGCGUAGGUGGGCAGGUAAGUCAGUGGUGAAAUCCUGUAGCUUAACUACAGAACUGCCAUUGAUACUAUUUGUCUUGAAUACCCUGGAGGUGAGCGGAAUAUGUCAUGUAGCGGUGAAAUGCUUAGAUAUGACAUAGAACAUCUAUUGCGAAGGCAGCUCACUACGGGAAUAUUGACGCUGAGGCACGAAAGCGUGGGGAGCGAACAGG